This is a long non-coding RNA of Oncorhynchus tshawytscha (Chinook salmon), 369 nucleotides long. The record is from Ensembl. Lineage: Eukaryota; Metazoa; Chordata; Actinopteri; Salmoniformes; Salmonidae.
CCCUUUUUGAGAGACACAACCAUGGGUAGAGUUCUUGUUGGGUUGAUGCUGCCACAAUUCCCUAUGAAGUAGUGGGUCUCUACAAUCAACUUAGCUGACAUGAUAUGGACACCGGGUUCAAAUUACACUCACAUGAGAACUCCUUCCCAACAUCUGAGUUUAAUUAGGAUUGCUGCACAACAGAAGAGCAUCAGAGAAGCAAUGCAGAUGAAAUCCAUGACAUUCAAAGAACCUGAGCAUCAGGUUACUGAUAUUCAAACCUGCAACACAAUGUUUUCGAUAUUUUCGAAAACUAAGUGCCCCUCGCUCCGUGCCCCUCCCUAGAGUGCCUGCUUGUAUCCCAUGGUUUGUUUGGCUUCUCUCACUGCC